Molecule: ribosomal RNA, 253 nt
Filed under: uncultured bacterium
Lineage: Bacteria
Description: partial 16S ribosomal RNA
Rfam family: Bacterial small subunit ribosomal RNA
Source: RNAcentral
UACGUAGGGGGCAAGCGUUGUCCGGAUUUAUUGGGCGUAAAGAGCGUGUAGGCGGCUAGAUAGGUCCGUUGUGAAAACUCGAGGCUCAACCUCGAGACGUCGAUGGAAACCAUCUGGCUAGAGUCCGGAAGAGGAGAGUGGAAUUCCUGGUGUAGCGGUGAAAUGCGCAGAUAUCAGGAAGAACACCGGUGGCGAAGGCGGGUCUCUGGACAGUUCCUGACGCUGAGGCACGAAGGUCAGGGGAGCAAACGGG